UUGGCUUGACAUCUGGCCAAUCCUGGCUAUGACAGUUUUGUCACGUGACCCAGAGAGAGUUCCUGCUUGUGGCUUCAAAGAAACAACUCAUCGACAACAAUUCACGGAAAAAUCGCACUUUGCGGCUUGUGGAAGCCCCCACCCUAAAAAUGGCCUCACCAGUCUCUGUCUAUAACUCCAAUGCUGUGGACACACACAUCUCCAGCACGUCUCGAGAGUUCCU
Long non-coding RNA from Cynoglossus semilaevis (tongue sole), 223 nucleotides. RefSeq lists it as uncharacterized. The record is from RefSeq and is a predicted model, not a curated record. NCBI's taxonomy places the organism in Eukaryota, Metazoa, Chordata, Actinopteri, Pleuronectiformes, Cynoglossidae. The transcript has 3 exons.